Long non-coding RNA from Ictalurus punctatus (channel catfish), 680 nucleotides. Lineage: Eukaryota; Metazoa; Chordata; Actinopteri; Siluriformes; Ictaluridae. The record is from Ensembl.
UACAUCAUCAUCCUUACAUCAUCAUCAUCAUCAUCAUCAUCAUCAUCAUCAUCAUUACAUCAUCAUCAUCAUCAUCAUCAUCCUUACAAUCAUCAUCAUCAUCAUCAUCAUUACAUCAUCAUCUCAAAAAUAAUGUUUUUUUAUCACUGAAAAAAGAGAAAAUAUAAUUAAAAAAUUACGUUCUUAAAAAUUACGAUUAAGUUCUAAAUUUUAACAUCACAUCAACUGAUUAUCUGAUAGAUAGAUAGACAGAUAGAUAGAUAGAUAGAUAGAUAGAGAGAAAGAGACAGACAGACAAACAGACAGAGAGAUAGAUAGAGAGAGAGAGAUAGGUAGAUAGGUAGAGAGAUAGGUAGAUAGAUAGAUACAUAGAUAGAGAGAAAGAGAGAGAUCGGUAGAUAGAUAGAGAGAAAGAGAGAGACAGGUAGAUAGAGAGAAAGAGAGAGAUAGGUAGAUAGAUAGAUAGAGAGAGAGAGAGGUAAGAGCAGAUAGAGAGAAAGAGAGAGAUUGGUAGAUAGAUAGAGAGAAAGAGAGAGAUAGGUAGAUAGAUAGAGAGAAAGAGAGAGAUAGGUAGAUAGAUAGAUAGAGAGAAAGAGAGAGAUAGGUAGACAGAUAGAGAGAGAGAGAGAUUGGUAGAUAGGGAGAGAAAGAGAGAGAUAGGUAGAUAGAUAGAUAGAGAG